AAAUACUAGGUGAUUAACCUUUUGAUAAUUUUACCCCUCUCGAAUUGGUUAAAAUUAAUGUAUGGGAACAAAAUAUCCAAUCUGAAAGCUAAAAUACAAAAUUCAAAGAUAGCACAAAUUAAUGUUACAGAUGCAGUUAAUUUGAUUCAAUAAGUCUAAACACCCCCACCGUGUUACAUGACCAUUGCACCAUCGUUCACUGGAGGAACCAAGUGAAAGAGCAGUGAAGCACCCCCAUUGGAAAUUAAAACAACUUAAAACCUAAAAAUAUUAGGUGUAAUAGCAUGAAAGAAGUAGGAUUGAUAGUUGAUCUAGCACUCUCACCCGAUCGUUUCUUUCUCCCAUUUUCCACGAAUUCAUUCUUGCCGUCUAACUUCCUUCGUGCCUCUCUUGGCACUGUGGUCCUUAUACUACUCGUAUAAUUUGUCAACACAUUGGUCAAAUGCAAAUCAUAUCAGGAUUGUGUAUUCCAUAUACGCAAAUCUAGACAACAAUAAUGCCAAUGUUUUUAAUUAGUCCUAUAGCCUUUGGCAAGCUGACCACAACUUCUACUUCAUGGAUAUAUUGACUAAUUAUUCUAUCUCUAUCUCUAUCUCCCCGUACCAGUGUUCGACUAAUUCCAAUCUAACCAACUUUGACUCUCUUUGUUCAUAUUUCUAAUGACCAUAAACCACUACUCCUGUAAUACAUAAAUCGCAAGUAAUCAAUUUACUCAGCAGUUCAAAACAGUUGUGUAAUAGGAUCUUAGCACAUGAGAUCUUAUUAGUAGAGACGGAUUUGUCUUGAUGCGAGCUGCCAUUUUAUUGCCUUUUGGGGUUAUGUCGUUCAGUCAAAGGAAAGCGACUCAUUACUGAUUAGCCAAGGGAAAGGUUGAGUGUGUAUACGGGUCUGGGGAACAAGUGCAUUUCGUGUUACCCGUGUAAAAAUCAUCAGAGAAUAUGUGGCUCCAAUUGCCUUGACAAACAUCGGAGAUCUUUUAAAGUUCAAUUACAUACGCCAACAUGGCGAUGAAUGAUGAAAAGGUGAUGUUUCCCCUGAUGGGAGAACCUUCUCUACUAUAAUAAUAGCACAACUUGCCCUGGCCCACCUUCUGACCCACCCUUUUUACGUAUAAAAGCGCUGUCAUGGCCUUUCCUGACGUUGCACUGCAUUAUGGUCGGCGUCUGGCUUGGUAUUUCUAUGCAACAUUGCUAAAUUUGGAAAUUUGGCAUGUUGGUCAAUUCUAACAACCAUCAGUCUCCCUUAUAUCAAAGGAUUAGGAGUCGCUAAUUCAUUCUCUUUGGAAUCUAAGUUCAUUAUGUAUGUAAGUUUGGCCCUCUCUAAUUCAUUCUUUUUCAACCUCUUAUUUUUAAUAAUUUAUAAGCAAAGCUUGUUAUUAAACAAAGAAAGUAAGCGCAAAGGUCUACACAAGAGAACAAGGAAAAAAGAGUUGCCCGAGCCUUUAGUUUAGUCGGUCCAACCACCAAAGUUUAGAUAGCGUUGUCGUGUAAACUCUAAUGCAAAAUAGGUUAGGUACCUGACCUGAGCGUAAAGUCAGUGUUUCUCAUUUGAUCAUAACUUGAAGCUUCCCCCACAAUGGCAUCGGUUCGCAUGCCCUAGAGAGAAUAUCAUGGAAACAAGAAACAUAUCCACAUCACAAACUCAACCAGAAGUAAAACCGAUUAAAACUGGCCAUUCCUUGUUUGAAGGUGUUGGCGUGCGAUACUGUGGCAAGCUCAACAUCAAGUUAAAAAAAGGGCAAGUAAUGUACCAACGUAGGAACCGUAUUAACAUUCCUAUAUUACGGGUAGCAGUUUGUGCACGAAUGCAUUACAAGAGGCGGAACUUGUAAUUGACAAGUUAGGAAGAUUGCACAAAAGCGGCCCCGAUCCCGGUAGGAGGCAUAUUCCUUUGAAUGGAUUACUUAGGAAGAUUGCACAAAAGCGGCCCCGACCACGGGCAUCAUAGCCCUUAUGAUCCUUUGGGAAGCAUAAUAACGGGUUGGAUUGAGAAGGAUGCACCUAAAGGUGUUCUCACUCAAUGGUAAUC
Molecule: long non-coding RNA, 2028 nt
Filed under: Linum usitatissimum (flax)
Lineage: Eukaryota; Viridiplantae; Streptophyta; Magnoliopsida; Malpighiales; Linaceae
Description: long non-coding RNA (LUSI_LNC002323)
Source: RNAcentral